RNAcentral lists this ribosomal RNA (571 nucleotides) under Haploporus ecuadorensis. RNAcentral's name for it is "SSU rRNA". It matches the Rfam family "Bacterial small subunit ribosomal RNA", at positions 362 to 960 of the family's 1533-position model. Lineage: Eukaryota; Fungi; Basidiomycota; Agaricomycetes; Polyporales; Polyporaceae. The record is from RNAcentral.
UAUUAGUCAAUGCUCGCAAGAGUGAACUAGCUAACUGAAAUCAUAGAAUUUUUUAAAAUUCAUGAUGUCGUAAGGGAAAAUAAUGAUAAUACCUUACUAUUAGUGUUGUCCAAAUCUGGUGCCAGAAGACUCGGUAAGACCAGAAACGCAAACGUUAAUCAUCAUAAACAGGCGUAAAGGGUUUGUAGGCAGCUUUUAUCUGAUUAUGUAUUCAAAAUAAAGUAGUCUAAUUAAAAGCUAGAAUCAAAAAGAGGUUAUAGUGUAUAACGCCUAGAGGAGGGCUGAUAUCCUUAGAUCCUAGGCAGAAUACUAAGGGCGAAGGCCACUUUCCAUUAAUGAUUGACGCUGAGAAACGAAGGUUAGGGUAGGAAAUAGGAUUAGAUACCCCGGUACUCCUUUCUGUAAACGAUGAAUGGUAGUCAUUAGUUUUAAUAAAUAAUUCAAAAUAACUAGAGACGAAGUUAACACAAUAACCAUUCCGCCUUGUGAGUACUACUGCAAAGUAGAAAACAAAAAAAUUAGUCGGUCUCGAAGCAAACGGAGUGAAGCAUGUUAUUUAAUUCGAUAAUCC